RNAcentral lists this long non-coding RNA (2867 nucleotides) under Orbicella faveolata. RNAcentral's name for it is "uncharacterized LOC110065987". Lineage: Eukaryota; Metazoa; Cnidaria; Anthozoa; Scleractinia; Merulinidae. The record is from RNAcentral.
GUGAACGACCACUACCCAGAUUGCUUCUCGGCAUUGUCGAGUACUUUUUUUUAGGACAACCUUUCUCAAAAUAGCUGUAUUAAUAUGCGGUACCUAAUUUUUUUUUUUUUAAUUAUAUUUAAACUUUUUACUUUUGAAAGCCUUCUAACAAAUAAAUUUUCUUUUUCAGAGGGCACAGAUCAUUAUCACAUAACAUACCCAGAACGUGUUGAUGGAAGCCGAGACAAGAGAGAUCUUUCAACUUUUGAUAAGAUUGCCAGCUGGCUUUCUGAAAAACCUGAAGAAUAACUUCUGUGUUCAUCCACAUGGGGAAUGGCCUGGCGAAGGUGUCAGUUUGCUCUACUGACCGGGAUGUUCCAAAGACAGGCUCAAGCUUAGCUUCUUCAAUCUCGAUUCUCCGAGAACUGCCUGAUUGUCAACAAAGAAAUGCGGAGUUCGAUGUUCAAGGAAAGGGUUAUAUUAUAACCAUGAUCAGGAUUUCAUAAGAAAUUCAUUUGCUUUAACCUGGAUGAAAAAAAAAAUUAAAAAAAUAAUAGAAGUUCAUGUCAAUAUUUUGUAUGUUUGAACAUCAUUUUCAGCUGAAACCCGCUAAACUUUGAAUCUUAAUUAUAGAGCGUUUUCAAACGACGUCCAGACAGCCGCGUUGGUGUUUUCAAACAUACGUGGUUUACCAUUUACACGGAGAAACCGGUUUGUCGACGGUUGUGCGAAUGGUAAGUAAAAAUCCCAAGCGCUACGCCCUCGGGAAAGAGGGGUGCUUGACACUCGUUAAUGUAAACUGUUACUACAUGUAUGUAACACGUAGUAACAGUCGGCGCAAAACCCACUGAAACGCUCAAAUUCAUCAUUUUGAGCCACAGAAACGACAAUGCACAACAACUGAGGUAGGUCUACAUUUAUUUUGAGCUUUAUGCAUUGGCAGAUAAGAGUCCUUCUUGAUAUUCAACUGAAUUGUUGGUUGGAUAGAGGAAAUUACACGUUGCUCGUUAUCCGAAGUUGUCGACAUUUAGGAACAAUAGAAUUUGAGUAAACGGAAGCUCGAGUAAACGGAAGAAUCUUAACAUAAACAUCGGUCUCAGGAACACCAGGAAAGCCCCUAUAUGAAAUGCUUAGGAAAAAUUUUCUGAUGAAAACAUUUUCAAAAUAGUAAGGUAUUACUUGAAGAUGUAAACAAAAAAUCGUGGUCUUGGAUCAUCGCAUUUCACACUAACCCUAUUUAAUGUAAAGUCGUUCAGGUUAGGUUAUAGACCUCUGUAUUUGUUGUCAAUUCCCUGUUUUAUUUUCUAAGCAUCUUCGCUUUUAAUUUCAUUUAAAUACAAAGAAUAAAAAUCAGAUUCUAAAAACGAUCUAAGCUAAGUUGAGCAGUGGUAAGCAAGCCACCGACUCGAACUUGGCAAAAAAUUGGAAAACUCUCCAAACAAAAACCACCGAGUAUCGACCUUUGGUUUCUGGGGAUAAUGUUAAAUUAGCGCCUUGUAUGGAAGGAGCCAUACAAUUGAUUUGUAACAAAGAAACAAUGUGGACAUGUGUUUACAAGUGCAAUAGAAUCAUGACUUAGGCCAAGUUCGGACAAGCCUCCCACCCGACGCGUAAACGCUUACCCUUUGAUUCACUAUUUGUUGUUUUGACUGGCAAGAUAACUCUUUCGUAUAUUUCAUAUACCACCUAUAAAAAGUGUUGUCCUUUAACAUACCUUAAGUCAGCACAAGGCAUCCCUUUUUCAGAAAGUUGCCACACCUUUUGCGGGAAGAGCCUCCCCGUGUAUUACAGGGAGUUGUUCUUGAGGGCUGGGGGCGUGGAGCAAAGUUAAUAUCUUUUCCAUCGCAUCACAACGUGGUUACCAUAGACUGAAUUUUGACAAAGAUUUCUGUUGGCUUGCUAUUGGCCUUCCAGUUAAUAACGGUGUCAUCCUGUUAAAUCCGAUUGCCAAUCGACUUUGUGGCGCCUACUCCACUCUGUGGCGGAGGCGCCAGUUGUUCUCAUUAUAAUGCGGGUAGAUGCCUCCAAAUUCAGGAGCCUAACUACUUCUACUUGACGAUAUGUUAGCAAACAAACAAAAGCAAAGAAACGUGUAUUCCGACAAAUGAAAGUCAGAUCAAGAGCUGUCGAGUGUUGAUCCGAAUGACUUGAAAGGUCAAAGAGUCGCUCAAGUGACCUGUUUUGAAAAUAUUCUCAGAAUUCGCCGUUUUAUUUACCCCAUUUUUUUUUUGCGCCCGAUGUGUAGAUGUAAUCCCCGGGGUGUAGUCUCGCUGGGUGAGACCAUAUACCAGAGUGCUUUUUUGAGCCUUGAAUUUCGUCUAAAUCCAAAGAAGGCGACACGGGUAAACAUUGGGUCUGCGUGACCCUCGUAAUUGUAGCGCAAAUUACGCGUAAAAAACCUUUUCUUGAACAUGUUUUACAACACGGCUUUUCAAUUGCCCAAGUUGAAUUUCUUUUAUUGUAAAGCGAUAACUGGGCUUUGCAAAAAUGUAUUUUUCAUUUAAAAUUUCGUUGCACCAAGAAAAAUUGCCCACAAAAAUGCCCUAUUUUAUGUUUUUCCAAAGUAAAAAAACUAGCAAUCUUCCGGCGCUUCUAACCCGAAGUGAAAAAGCACUUCUUGCCAAUAAUUAUUAAAUAUUAAUUAUCAGUUCGAGGGCCGUUCUGCAAGUUACAGACCGAACUUUUCCCCGUCGAUUUCUCGCCCAAGCGCUGAGCGCGCGGGUCAUAAGUCGGAGGGAAGAAAAAAAACGACGAUCUGUAACUAACAGUACAGACCGAUAAGACGAGGCUAGUAAAUUAUUUGUUAUAUCUCUACUGAGUCUCUGCCGCGUUCGGGAACGAUGCCUAUUCACGCGGAACGGCUUCAAAAUUCUGACGCACGUCAAAAU